Molecule: long non-coding RNA, 1096 nt
Filed under: Zea mays
Lineage: Eukaryota; Viridiplantae; Streptophyta; Magnoliopsida; Poales; Poaceae
Description: long non-coding RNA (ZMAY_LNC001820)
Source: RNAcentral
UUUCAAAACAAUAUCAUCUUUGAACCAUUACAAAUCAUGCAUGAUAAAAUCGUUGCAGGAACGAAAUGUACAUUCAUCCAAAAAAAUUACAUGCAUUUUAUCUACUACACAUGGAUUAAUUGACAAAUCACUCAUCAUCAUAAUUUGAUCCUCUCAAUGGAUCUACAAACAAAUCUCUCCAUCUGUGCUUCUUGUCUUUGCAGUGAAAUACUACCUUUAGCCACUUCAUAUUUAGGAAGAGCUCAUGAAGCAAUGGGUUUGUUUCUUGCUUGUCGUCCAAACAAAAGCUAUGCUAUGCUCCUGGAACUGAUUUUUGUGUCAUGCAUUUGUAGUAGGACAACCGGCUGCAAGAUUCAAGAUACAUGCAAACAAUUCAAGGAAACAGGUGAAUAAUAGCACAAUUUACAACAUAUAUACUCAAAUUUUAGACCCUGAAGAAUAGCACAAUAUUUUUUUCCAUUUAUAGGGAACAUCUUUUUACACAUGAAUUUUGUGCAAAUACAAUGAUCCAAACCACUGAACUUAAAUUUCAUGUCAUACAAAAGUGUUGCUCUUGGCAUUUCGUCGAACACUUGGUAGGCCUGAGACAAGCCACAACAGAGCUGAUAGAGUUGACAAAUUUCAGAGUAGGUCUAGGUCAUGGCACAAUCUAGCUGAGAUGACGGCGGAAACCUUACCUGGCAGGCAACGGAGGUGGAGGCCUAAUGUUGCGGUGGCGGCGGCGGCGUGGUGUGGGAGGUUUUGAAAAAGGCCUAAUUCUGAUUCAAAGCUCGAGUGAAACAGAAGCCGUUGAGCCAGAAGCUAUUUGUUUCGGCAAGCAUCAAGUGACCGUCUGAUAUACGCAUGUAAUUCUCCGCUGCACAAGCCACGAAGUUUUUAGCUUUUAAAUAUCUUACUGAACUAUUUAUUUUCUUAUAUAAUACUAUUUUAUGCUGUUAUGACUUAUUUCAUCAACAAAUUCAUUUUAAUAACAAUUUAUUUAUUUUAUUAUGUAUAAUAAACUAAAUAAAACGUAUGAUUAAAGAUGAUGUUUAAAAGUAAAAAAACGCUAUGUAUUCUUGAAGUAGUAGGUAACACCUGCGCGUGCCAUCACCUC